This 425-nucleotide long non-coding RNA is filed under the name Homo sapiens (human). RNAcentral's name for it is "non-protein coding lnc-COQ10B-4:1". The record is from RNAcentral. Lineage: Eukaryota; Metazoa; Chordata; Mammalia; Primates; Hominidae.
AUGUACACCUGCUCCAAGUUCGUCUCCACUCCCUCCUUGGUCAAGAGCGCCUCACAGCUGCUAAGCCAUCUGCUACCUGCAGUGGUGCUGAAAUGACCAGAGACACUGACAGGUGAGAACCUCAGCAGCUUGGUAGUCUCACGUCCCCUUACCUCACUUGUCCCUGGCCGCAGCUUGGAAAGCAGCGCCAUUUCAAGGGACAUCGACACAACAGCCAAGUUCAUUGGGGCUGGGGCGCCACAGUUGGGGUGGCGGGCUCUGGGGCUGGGAUUGCGACUGUGUUUGGGAGCCUCAUCAUUGAUUAUGCCAGGAACCCUUCUCUGAAACAACAGCUCUUCUCCUACACCAUUCUAGGCUUUACCCUCUAGGAAACCAUGGGGCUCUUUUGCCUGAUGGUGGCCUUUCUCAUCCUCUUCCCCAUGUGA